This 323-nucleotide long non-coding RNA is filed under the name Elaeis guineensis (African oil palm). RNAcentral describes it as "long non-coding RNA (EGUI_LNC052797)". Lineage: Eukaryota; Viridiplantae; Streptophyta; Magnoliopsida; Arecales; Arecaceae. The record is from RNAcentral.
UGUCAAAAACUCAUGAAAAACUUCUUCUUUGACUAAUCAUAAGAGGGCUUCUUUUUGAUUAUGUAUGCAACCUUAGAGCAUUAAGAGAUUUUCUACAUCCAUACUCUCAAGCUUGCAUUUGUACCAAAUGCACUCAAGUAUUUAGCAUCAUCAAAAUCAAUCUUUGGGUUAACAAUCAUAGUAUUUUUGAUUGUUUAUGAUAAACAUCUAAAGUGUCAUAUUAAAUAGCAUAUACAAUAUAUAAGCACCAAAAGUAUCACACUAUAUGCAUUCUUACAAACAGUGAGCUAAACCUUAUAUCAAUGUUCACUAAAAUAUAAAAU